UCAUCUCCAGCGAGAAGAAAACCAACAUAGGAAGUGAGGCUGAAGAAAGUGGUGGCUGGGAAUUUGUUAAACACACACACACACAGCCAGCCAAACAAACCAGCAAACAAACAGAAGGGUCUCCACGAGAAAGUUAAAACAUGCUAAGCUUCUUGACUCUUAGAAGCGGAAUCUCCGAUAACCUCACAGUGCCUGGGCUCAGGGGUUACAACAAAGGUAGACACCCACCCACCGGGUUGGACAGAGUCAGGGAUCCCACAUGGCAGGCCCGCUCGAUGCAAACAGAUUUUUACAGCAUACAUCCAGGAUCUGGAGAGGGACUUGGGAGGGCUGGUUUUCUUUACUGCCACCCUCUUCCUUUUUUCUGCCCUGUAUUUUCAUUUUUUCUCAUUUCUAUCUCAUAGAGUCAACUCUGAAGCUGUUGAAAGAGGAUUUGCCCGUUGCUCCUGGCAGACACCUGGUUGUCCUUAACCACAAUCAGCUUUACUUAAACCCAUGGCUGGCUUCAAAAGGGGCUGGAGUUCAAGCAUCAUUGGCUAAUGAUUUAAUGAAUACGGCCUGUGUAAUGAAGCCUCCGUGAAAACGCGAAGGACCGGGUUUGGCGAGCUUCCGGGUUAGAGAGUUUGAGGCGCGUCCAGGAGAAGGGCCAGUGCGGAGAGCCGCAAUGCAGCGUGCCCCCUGCAUGUCUUCCAUCUGGCUGUUUCUGAGUUAUGUCGUCAACAAUAAACCUGUGGCCUAGAAGCUCCUCAUAUGAGUGGUCUCAACUUGCUACUCUUGUCUCCCAUUUAUUCCUCACCCUACUCCAAUUGGACUUUGACUCCAUACAUCCAAAGAAAUCUCUCUUGUCAAGAUCACCCACAAGCUCCUUGAUGUUCUUCAUCUGGCAAGGCCUGAAAACAAAUUGUAGCACCAUGAGACAGAACAGGUUCUGAAAUUAGCAACAACAGGAAAAAGGGGAGAAAGCUACCCUCCUCCAUUCCCUGAAGGCCAGAACAGCAGAUGCGCCUAUUUUCAGAGGUUCUGCUGGAUUAGAGGUCCUGGUUCCCAGUGGGACUACCCUUCCACCAAGGAACGUGGUAAGGGAGAGAGGACACAUUCACAAGAAGAUUACUAUCGGCGGCGGAGGGUAACGGUUCAUAACGUGAUGCUGAAGGCGUGCUGAAGGAAGACCGUGGGGAAGCUGGGGGUUGCGCUAGACCCCAAUAGAUGUGUGCAAAUCAGAAAAAAGGAAAAGAGAAAAUCCCCAAAGAUGAAAAUGCCAUCCAUGUGAUUUGGAGAGAAGGAACUUGGUCAAUACUAAGAACAGGACCUGGUCUAGCAGCAGAACCUGGAGCUCACACUGCAGUCAUGCAUCACUCCUGUGUGAGUGUAGCAGCUGAUGGCACCUUCCCGUUGAAAUCCGAGGAGCUCCCAAAAGGUGGCUGUUUCAAAGUGAGCUCCGUGUUUCUAUGGACUCCUCAGGAAA
Long non-coding RNA from Ailuropoda melanoleuca (giant panda), 1465 nucleotides. RefSeq lists it as uncharacterized. The transcript has 8 exons. The record is from RefSeq and is a predicted model, not a curated record. Lineage: Eukaryota; Metazoa; Chordata; Mammalia; Carnivora; Ursidae.